Molecule: long non-coding RNA, 216 nt
Organism: Perognathus longimembris pacificus (Pacific pocket mouse)
Lineage: Eukaryota; Metazoa; Chordata; Mammalia; Rodentia; Heteromyidae
Exons: 3
Source: RefSeq, a predicted model, not a curated record
GGCUUUGUUUUCUGCGUCUCCACAGAUUUUCUCUUUGGUUGAGUUUUACUUCCUAUUGGGAAGAUUUAGGAAAAAAUAUUUCAUUCAACAAAUAUUUAGUAAUGUGACUGCUAGUUACAAGUAGUAAACAGACACUAAGCUCUGUAGCUCUGUGUUAUAACUUUCCAUGAAGUGUGAGUUGUUAGCUGAGGCUAAUCUGAAGGAGAGGCUGAGAUC